This 253-nucleotide ribosomal RNA is filed under the name uncultured bacterium. Its description in RNAcentral is "partial 16S ribosomal RNA". It matches the Rfam family "Bacterial small subunit ribosomal RNA", at positions 524 to 776 of the family's 1533-position model. The record is from RNAcentral.
UACGGAGGGUGCGAGCGUUGUCCGGAAUCACUGGGCGUAAAGGGCGCGUAGGCGGCUCGUUAAGGGUGCGGUGAAAGCCCGGGGCUUAACCCCGGGUCGGCCGUGCCGACUGAUGAGCUCGAGCACUGUAGAGGGCGGUGGAAUUCCGGGUGUAGUGGUGGAAUGCGUAGAGCUCCGGAGGAACACCAGUGGCGAAGGCGGCCGCCUGGGCCUUUUCUGACGCUGAGCCGCGAAAGCGUGGGGAGCGAGCCGG